CAAUAGCGUAUAUUAAAGUUGUUGCAGUUAAAAAGCUCGUAGUUGAAUUUUUGCUUGCCGCCGAUGUCGGAACUUCCGUACGUUCGGCGGCGUGCAUCCUUGGGUGGAACCUGUGUGGCAUUAGGUUGUCGUGCAGGGGAUGCUCAUCGUUUACUGUGAAAAAAUUAGAGUGUUCAAAGCAGGCUUACGCCGUUGAAUAUAUUAGCAUGGAAUAAUAAGAUAGGACCUUGGUACUAUUUUGUUGGUUUGCGCACCGAGGUAAUGAUUAACAGGGACAGUUGGGGGUAUUCGUAUUCCAUUGUCAGAGGUGAAAUUCUUGGAUUUCUGGAAGACGAACUACUGCAAAAGCAUUUACCAAGGAUGUUUUCAUUAA
RNAcentral lists this ribosomal RNA (373 nucleotides) under uncultured eukaryote. Its description in RNAcentral is "partial 18S ribosomal RNA". It matches the Rfam family "Eukaryotic small subunit ribosomal RNA", at positions 592 to 976 of the family's 1831-position model. The record is from RNAcentral.